RNAcentral lists this long non-coding RNA (5480 nucleotides) under Sus scrofa (pig). RNAcentral describes it as "lncRNA (ENSSSCG00060006244.1)". The record is from RNAcentral. Lineage: Eukaryota; Metazoa; Chordata; Mammalia; Artiodactyla; Suidae.
AUCCUCUUUGUGGGAGGAACAAGCAAAUGUUCCUAGGGUGUGGCCUUCCCCCAGAGAGGACGUGCCACCCCGCAGCGUGGAGGAUCUUGGAUGGGCAGAUGUAUUUGCGUGUGAUCUUUAUACACCCCCUGCCCCUUUCCAGUUUCAUUUGUCAGGUUAGUUGAGAAGUGGCAUGUGAAUCCAGGACUGAUGCUGUGGCCCGAGGGAGCCACGAGGAUGUGCUUGACCAGGCAUCAUUCGUAAGUGUCAGUAUCAUUGGCUGGGCUUGCAUCAGUGUGUGUGCUUGCAAGCGUGUGCCUAUAAAGAUCUGUGUGAGCCUUGUGUAUGGUUUGGGUGGGAACGAGGUAGACAACAGUCUCCAGGCUUGCAGUGGCUUUUAUUACCAAGCUCUGGACCACCGAAAGGACAGCAUCCAGUGCGGUGAUCAAAACUUCAUUUUCUCUCCUCUGCAAUUGCCUUCCCAAUUCCCUCUCCCAACCGCUCCUAAAUAAAGUAGAUGCUUUCAGCCCUCUAUUCAAUCCAAGACGUGAGCCGAUAGUUGAAUCUCCAUAUGAGGCUAAAUAAGUAUAGCUUAAGGUGAUACUGUAUAUUAUGUGUAUGCUCAUACAAUAAAAUACAGUUACCUAGAAUAUUUGGGGAUGAAGCUGUGGUAAUUCGUUAAUGUUUUCUGGCUAACCGAGGCUUAACUAGGCAAUCCUUUUGGUUAUAAGCGCUGCUGAAAGGCUUUUGCAAAACCAAAAUAGUACGCUUUUCUGCUUUCUAAGCGCCAAAGAGUGACAUAAUUGAAUCCUUUGACAUUUCAUGAUCUUGCGGCAUAUGAGGGCUCGUCCUUGGUUCUUACUUAUGAUUACACAUGUCGCAUGGAAAGUGUAGAACUGGUUUGAGUUAAUAUUUACUCCAAGAAGGUGGUUCUCAACCGGGGACAGUUCUGGCUCCCAGGACACAUCUGGCAAUGUAUGGAGACACUUUGAGUUGUCACAGCUGAGGGAAGCUGUUCCUGGUAUGUAGUGGGUAGAGGCCACUGACACGUCUGAGCUCCUUAACAGUGAGCGGGGAGGCCCCCUUCCCCACCCCCACUACAAACAAUUAUUUGCUCUGAAAUGUCAAUAGUGCUGAGAUCGAGAAAUGCCCGUUUAGGACGUAUCUUUAAAAUUUGGGGUCCAAAAAUUUUGACUAAAUUCUUGCACACAAAAUAUUUUGUUUUCAUGGAUCUGGCUUUUCAGAAGAAUCAGGUGCUGGAAAUGUUCUGAAUCAUUGAAGCCUCUAAUUCAUUGACAUUUAUUGUUCCAUAGAACAAAUAGGGAAGCCUGCCAGUUUGCAGAUAGGCAGGCCUGUCCCCAGAUGGCCCGCCAGUGAAUGCUCAGAUUCACUGAAUCAUUUAGGACCAUUAAAAACCAUUAGGGCCACACUCGCUUCGGAUUGAACUAAGCAGAAUAAAUAAUCCCAGAGGGGGCCGUGGCUCACCCUUUUCUCUUUGUCUUUGCAACCCGCAAACUAACUUCUCAGAGACUUGCAGCAGAACUUUCUGAUGAGACAAGGUUCAUGCUACUUCCUGCAGGUCAGGGAUGGCCUGGCCUUGGCACCUUUGGCAGGGUUUCCAGAAUAUGCAGAUCUAGACCUGUACCCUGGUAAUUUGAUUUGGUUUUGUUUUGUUUUAGUAUUUUUAAAAAUUAAAAUAUAGUUGACUUCCAAUGUUGUGCCAACACACACACACACACACACACACACACACACACACACACACGCAAAAUUUUUCUUAUAUCAUUCCCCAUCGGGUUCUAUCCUGAGACUGGACACGGUUCCCUGUGCUGUACAGCAGGACCUCCUUGCUCAUCCAUUCUGAAUGUAAUACUUGGCAUCUACUAACCCCGUCCUCCGAGGGCAUCCCUGUUUAUUGGUUUUGAAUGACCCUUAGUGAGCCUUUGGCAGACCCUGGCUGGUUUGGGUUUGGUGGGUGCAUCCAAAGGCAAAUGGGAGGAUUUUGCAUAUCCUACGUCUUUGAUCCUCUUGGAAGACAUCGUUGGAAGACGAUGGGUCCCUAUACUACAAAGUCUUUAAAGCAAAAUCGAACUUGUUUGGGGAGAGUUAGGAAGGCUUUAGGGCCUUUCAUUACAGUACAGGAAACGCUUUUACUGUGAACUUAAUCUCAGAUGAAACUUCGGUGUCAGACAUUCUGGAUCUGUAUUUCGCAUCUUUGUAUUAACCCACACCCUCUUUCUAGGACACUGUAAGAGUCUAGUUAAGUGAAGUCGGUGUGACUGGUGAAUGCAUGUGAGUAGUUGAAGGAAAGAUGUUCAAUGCUUGGUUUAAUGUGCAGAUUACCAAUCCACAGUGCCCUCUGGCAGGGGUUCUUUAUUUCAUAUAAACGAAGAAGGAAAAAUCUGUCCUUGCAAGACUGACUGAUUUUCCAGAUCAAUCACAGAGGGUGGAGCCAUGCAGACUGAGGCGUGGGUCAUCUCUUGGGUGGAGUUUUAGAGAUUUGCCUUACAUUGUACCUCGGGGGUGGCGGGGGGUGCGCAGGGAGAGAGGACGAGAGGUGGAGUCAGGCGGCCCACAUCUCGGCCUGGUUGAGCUGACCGCCUUCUAGCUCUGUGACCUUGAACAAGUUGCUUAACCUUCCUGAGGCUCAUGAGGACAAUAAGACCCCUGUCCAGGCUUGGUUUGAGGAUCAAGGGGGUGGGAAAGCACUUUGUAAAUUGCAAAGAGCUGAGUAAACAUCAGGCACUCGGGACAUUGUUCCGGUGUUAAGUAAGAGCAGUGCCAUUUGUAAACCAGGUUUUGGGUGUAUCCCCAGCAUUGUUGGUGAGGAGUCCAGCCUGCUCUGCACGCUCUCCUUUAAGGAAGACUGGAUCUCCCCAUCGGCCGUCUUCUAGCUGAGAUGCUAAAUGGAGCCAUGGGUGGUACCUGGGGUCUUUCUCCUUCCCCUGCAGACUCUGAGGGGGCCUAGAUGUGUCUCCCCUCCUCUCUCUCAGAUGGAAUUGUAUUUAUAGCCUGGUAUAAAUACAAUCAGAAGGUUCCUAUAAAACUCUGUUAUUACUGCAGCACGAAGUUAGACGUGCUUGAGGUUUCGGCUUCUUGGCUCUUCCAUGCGGCAAUGAAUAUUUUAUGGGAAAGGAAAUACUUAGUGUCUGACUCUUUUUAUAGUGCAGCUACUCACAGGGCUGGUAACUGUCCAGAUCUCUCCAAAAUCAAAAGCGUUGCCUGUGUCCAUCUCUCUGCUCCUUUCUUCACCAGAAUCCAUCCUGCUGGUGUUGGUGUUCUCCGGGUGAAUCCGUCCAUUUACGCCAUGUGUGGGGUGCCCUUUCCGACCCUAAUGAACACCCUAAACCCAAGGAGUUGGCUGCUCCUCAGCUCUGCCCCACCUCUUCUGGCACUUGGUGGUGCUGGUCAGCCCCAGGAGAGGUGAGCUGGAAGGAUGCCCUGUGGACGCUCCACUUGAAGGCCUCCAUCCUCUUUCUGCCAUGCUGCCUUCGCUCAGUGCCUGUCGCCUCCGGAGGAUGUGACCCAGCCUCUCCAAAGCCUCCUUGGAUCUUGGGAUUCAGAAAGCACUCAGUGAACGUGAGGUCCGGCAGAGCCCAAGGGGCUCCUCCCUCUUAAGGCCUGAGCUUGGGGUGGAAGGUCUUACCCAGAGCAGCCAGCAGGUCAAUGAGAUGUCCCUUUCAGGCCCUUUUACUGUGGUCCCUGCAGUGACCCCAGACGUAAGACCAGAAAAUGGGGCCUGGGCAGUCUUGGCCCUGGCUUGCUAGGCCCAGGCCUUUAAGUAGAGGAAAUGGGUCUCCUGGCAGGUCAGCAUUGGUGGAAAUGGCUCCUCUGGCACCCAAGGCCGUCCUGGCACAGGUGCUCAGCUGGAUUGGCCCAGUGAUCCUCAGGCCCGUGUCAUGACAAUAGCAGCCCCGCAGACCAGGUUUAUGGCCAGAUAACGAUGUCAGGGAACACCCAACCUCGGGAGCUUGCCCACGGGGCUCUCUCCCCAGAGGCCCCCACAGGCUGGCCAAGGACUUAGGUCUCCUGUGAAUUCGGACAAAGCAGCCCGGGUAAAAAAAUUACCAAUGCCCAGAGAGCCCCAAUGUGGAGAGGAUGGCGAGUGUGAAGUGUGGCUUCGGAGACACAGAUGCAGAGCUGGCUGGGCUUCACUGCUUAGCAAGGAUGGGUCUGUGCAAAACACUUUCCAUAAUCUGCAUACGGAUCCCACACUUCAUUUAGCGGGACCCUGGGAGCGCACCAUUUCACCACGUCUGCCUUCUGCUCUGUGUUUGUCUUGGCGCCAAAGUAGGUACAGGGAGAGCGUGAUUUACAAACCUCUGGUGGCUUUGGUUUGUCCUUCCAGCCCUGAUUGCGUUACCACCAGAUAAAGCUGUGUUUCCUCACUGCAGCUUUGUACUGGCUCUUCCAGUGUCCUUUUUACCCCCUCGUCUUUCCUCUUUUUCAGUUUUCAGGCUCCCUGGUGGCACAGGGUGGGCGGCGAGGAGAGGGCUUCUGGUCUUGUAGGAUCACAAGCUCCACUGUGCCUUCAGCUGGGAAGGCGAGGGAAGGGUUAUUUCUUGUUUUUAAUAGAUGGAGUGGGAUCAGCUGAAGGCUCACUGGAGAAACUGAGCACACAUAGCAUUUUUUUUUUCCUGGGGUUGGAUACACAGUGAGGGUAUUGAAUGCAAGUGAACAUGUAGGGUCCGCCAGGUUGAUGGGUGGGAUGGAAGAACUGAAAUCCUCAAAUGGUCUAAAAGCAUCAUUAUUGGUCCUUACUCAUCUGUAACUGGCCCUCUUCGUCUGUGAGGUAAACAGUGGAGAUGGGUAAGAGAAAAAGAACCCAAGAGAGAAUAAAGAGGGAGAACGUCUACUAAAUGUUGUAUACUAAGUAACUGCCUUGUGCUUUUAAAUGAAUAGCUUUCAGGUUAAUUCCAAAGCUAAGACUGGGCAAUUUCCUGGUUCUGGGAUCUGGGUAGUCUAUAGGUGGGAUCAUGGGUCUGGGGAUCAGAUCUGGGUACCAGUAUUGAGCAUCUCAUUCCGUGUCUAGAUAGAGAUGUGCUGAAUCCCAUGGAAGAUUCAAGGGUGUAUAUCUGUAAUCCCUUCUCAGAGGUUAAGGCCACACACACACACACACACACACACACACACACACACGUGCUGCAUACACAGAGGUAGACAUAGCCUGUGGAUCAUGUGAGAGCUGCUUUUCAUUCCAGUGCUCCAGAAAUUCACAGAGCACCCCCAGGGUAUCAAAAAGGAGACACGAGGCGUUCCCGUUGUGGUGCAGUGGGUUAAGGACUUGACGUUGUCUCCCUGAAGACGUGGGUUCGAUUUCUGGCCUUGCUGAGUGGGUUAAGGAUCUGGUAUUGCUGCAGGCUGCGGUGUGGGUUGUAGAUGUGGCUCAGAUCCGGUGUUGUUGUGGCUGUGAUGUCGGCUGGCAGCUACAGCUCUCAUUCAACCCCUGGCCUGGGACUUGCCAUAUGCCAUAGAUGUGGCCAUCCAAAAAAAAAAAAAAA